CUCAGGGAUCAGCAAUGGACAGCUAUUCAUACAGAUCCUGCCUGCAGGGAUCUGGCUGCACCCAGAUGGGAAGAGACCUUCAUUGGAGAAGAAGAUGAAGCAUAUUGAGGGAAUACAGCGAGGCACCUUGGGCUUAGCUGAAGAAUUUGGUGAAAAGUCAAGAUGUUUCUCUUUAGAGCUUUGCUUCUCUGUGGGCGAUUUUCCAAGGUGGGUACUUCAUUAGUCAACACGAGUGUGGCCGUGACAUUCAGGGAUGAAUGGCACUAGCCACUACCUACAGACAAACGCCACCAGCACGCCUUACAGAAUGUGUUGGCUUCACUAUGCUCUCACUUGAAACACCCAGAGAAUGUCCACACACGCCCUGGAGCCGUGGCAUGGCUGGUGGGAGGGGGAGGCUGGAUUUCUGUAUAGAAUAACAUCAUCCACAUGACAGUGCAGCGUGGGCUUUGGGGAAAGCAGGGGGCCUUAGGCUGCCUUGCCUUAACCAUGAUCUCCAGGAGCACUGGGCAAAGGAGGGCUAAUCUUAGGUGGCAUUAGGACUUCACUUCACACUGCAUCCUGCAGUGACAUUACAAACUCUAAAUUCUCAGUCCUUCUGAACAUAUGGAGGACAAAAAUCUCUGUUUUGUGAACUUAUAUCUGUAGCAGUAAUAAUAAUAAUAAUAAUAAUAAUAAUAAUAAUAAUAACAAUAAUAAUGGCAAGUCAGACCUUGGCCUUGGCCAUUUUGAAUUAAUAGUUUCUGAUUUAGAGGUAUUAUGCUUUAAUUGCUUUGUAAACAUGCCACACACACACACACCUAAUAAUAUUAUCUUAUAGAGGAUUUAAAAGUCGGAUGAAAUUUCAUUUAAAAAUGAAUUGACAUAUUUCCCCUGACUCAGUACAUUCUCUGGUAGUGACAGAACGCACUGGUAUAGCACUGUGUUCGACUAAGAUUUGACGCAAUGGCUAAGGCAGAGAGCGAGGCUCCCUACACUGCGAUCCUCGCUUUUUUCUCGAAAGCCACACGGAAUCAGGACCUUGGGCACUGAGAAUAGCGCUGCCGUCAUCUUCCCUGUCCUCAUGCCUUGUGUGCUCUGGCCUCCUGGGUCUGCUCAUCUUACCGCCUCCGGAAGAUGGAAUCCAGUUUACCUCUGCAGCCUGCUGAAGACACAGAGGCCAGGAAUGGAUGGAGCAGGUGCAUGUGGGCGGGUGGACAACAGCAGCCAGAGCGCGAAGAUGAAAGUCACGUGUGAGUUCUGCGCUACAGCCUCUCUUCCUCUCAGGCUGCAAAUCUUUGGCAAUCGGAGGCAGGCUCCGAAUUAAGCUUAAUUAAAAUUCACUCUUAAUUAGGGCCAUUACUUAAAAUCAACUCUAUGUAAUAAAGCUGUGUAAUCAUAAUUAAGCCCCGGGAAUGGAAUUAGGAAGCACGGAUUGUGAAAGCCAAACACAGGGGCCCGGUGUCGGUACAGGCGGCAACAAGCUCUUCUUCUUCUUCUUCAAUUAACAGGAUUUUUGAGUAAACAAGGAUCAGCCAGUCAUGAUGAGCACUCAGAUAGCCUCGGGGAUGGUGGGCACAUCAGAAAGAGGACUUGAAGAAAGUAGACCACAGGGGCAGUGGGCUCAGGUAGCGUGAUGGGUGACAGAGAGGGUCCUCCAAGGAGCAGGGCCAAGUUCUCACUCGGUGAGUGAUGCUCACAGGCCUGACUCAGGACUCUUUGUUUCCACAGCUGUGAGUUCAGGGGUGAAGGCAACGUUUCCCAAACUGCCUUUAACUCAGGGUCCCUGCUUCCUAUGGAGCUCUUGUUAGUGGAGUUUAGAUCAGCACAGCCAAGAUAAGCGUCUCCACCUGUCUCCUCGGCUGCUGCAGCCACAGGGUUUGAUCUUUAAAGUAUGAAAAGGAGAAGAGAGAAGUAACAGCUGGUGGCAGUCUCCUGCUUUGCCGUCCUUAACAAGCCACCGAAGAGCAGGAACAUAAUUUGGAAAUGAAAGGGUCAGUUUGGGAAUAAAAGGGUUCUUGGGGUUAAUUCUCAGAAGUGGUAAGGGGAUGGAGACAGCCAUAGCCUUCAUCACCUGCUUCCCUUUAUAGCCCCGAUUGCUCCAGGAAUGCCUCCUCCUGUGUGCAGGUACCGACAUCACCACGCCUGGUACUAAAUUAAGCACAUCAGAGAGUCUCUUUUAUCCCGCAUCCACGUUUCUAAAGUCAUCCGUGUUUUGCAGAUGGGGAGAUUGAAGCAGAUUGGGGUAAAGCUCAGUCAGCUCAUUGGCCACAGAGAAAUAUGUCAUUUGACCCCAGGUGGGUGUUUACUUCACUCUAAGAGACAGUAUACUCUUCCAGAGAUGCAGGCUGGACUGGGGCCUCCCAGACAGUUUCUACCCAUGGCAGCAUCAAGAGCAAGACUAUACACUUUGGCACAGCCAACAUCUCACAGCCUCAGGUCUACACAGCAGAGGGGGGUGUGUGUAUGUGUGUCUCAUGAUUCUUUCGGGCCUCAGAAUUCACUGAGCUCAGUUCUCAUGUUUAGCCAUCAAGAGAGCACCAAGUAGAAAUUCACCUGGGGUCUGGCCUUCAUGAAGCCAUCCAACUCUGACCUUUAAUGUCAUUAUAUGAAUUAUACCCAUACUAAAGGUGUCUGGGUGAACUCUAUCCAAAGUGAAAUACUAAGGUCUUGAACCUUUCACAGUUUUGGCAAGGCUGUGUUAGUAUUUCCUCACUUGUUUAUGAGCAGGAACUGUAGCUGGAAAGAAAGCAGGACACAGGCUAAGCUGUGAAGGCCUGAGGCCUGAGGCCUAAGCUAGCAGUCAUCAUUGUUCAGCUCUGCCUGGGGCCUUUCUGUUCCUUUCUGCUGCCUAGAGAGGCCAUCUUGAUUAGAGACCUGGAGCUCAGGGGCACUUUGGUAAGGAAAAUUCAUGGUUAGCACCAAGUACCACUAGAAAUCAGCCAGGAGCCUCUUGCUCUUGAGAGAAGGAAGAAUGUGUCAGGCAAGGGAGUUAGAGGUUAAUUUAAGCUUCCCAGGCUCCAUUCCCCUCCCAUCUCCUCACCAAGCCUCCCAUGUGGAGGCCUUAACCUGCGCAAAUCCAUCAUGGAGGGAGAGCAACUGUAAAGUGACCUAGUGUCACUCGCUGCGGAGGUGAGAGCUCCCUGAGGUGUGUGGCUGGUUUGCGGGUGCUUACAGACCCCACCUCCCCCCACAUGCUCCUGACCAGAGGAAGCCGCAGCCUCUUUCUGAGCAUGACCCCUCUGUCCUUCAAGAUCAUUUGCCUCUAUUUACACUAAAUAGAGCCAGCUCUACUUCUGAGUGCCUGUAUUUUGGGCAAGGCAAGCUGGAGGUCCCCACAGCCGGUCCAAGCAGGCGUUGGCUGUCCUGGAGAUGGUCAUGUGGAAGGCUGUCCCAAGCCUGCUCCUCUGACAAAGUUUAGCAAACAGCUUAUCUCCCUCAAAACACGUGAGGUAAUGUUUAUAUAAGAUCACCCUGUCCCCUUCACCUGGCUGUGAGGUGCUGGCAUGACUGCACAAUGAUGCUGGUGCCUGGACUAUCCUGCCCCUCUCCCCCCACCCCACACCCCUUGGUAGGAUGGGAAACCACCAUCUAGCCUUCUCCACAGCAGGUCUGGAGAGAGCAACGCUCUAUAAACAUGUCCAGUGCCCCUAAGUCUCCAUGGGUCAAGACAUACUUGUGUAUGGAAUGGGCAUGGUUUUCUUCAGGAGGAAACUGAGGCAGAGAGCAGCAGAGCAUUUUUUUUUUUUUCUGAAGAUGCAAAGUCAGUUGGUGGCCUGGAUGGGGAGCCAGGUCUGACCCCUCAAAUCUCCUCUGAACUGUUCUGUGGAAAAUAUUCAUUUAAAGAAACUAGGAUGUUUAGUAAGGACGGACAGAAGGACAGCUAAAUGGAUGGACAGGGAAAAGAUAGCUGGCCUGGUAUGGUGGGGUGUGCCUACACCCACAAAACUUAGAAAGCCAAGGCAGAAGAAUUGUGAGAUUCAGGCCAGUGUGGGUUACAUAUAAAGAUGCUGUUUCAAACAAAUAAAUGGGGGGGGGGGAUGAGGAAAGGAAGGAGAGAGGGUGGAAGUAGUGUGGGGAAGACAGAAAGGAAGAAAGGGAGAUGAAGGUGAAAGAAGAGGAGGAGAGAAGGGAGGAGAGGGGAGAAGAAGGGUGGAAAGGAGAAGAGAGACUAGAUAGGAUAGAGAAGGAAAUGUGUAAGUAUAAUUAAUUCUGGAAGAAUACAUUGAAAACUGCAGAGUGAGAAUGGGGAGGCUGGCUGUGUAUGUGUGUGUACACGUGUUCUUGUUUAUGUGUUGUGUGUCUGUAAUCAGAAGAAAGAUGAUCACACACGUUACUCUUUCUUGCUUGCUUCUUGUCCCCUCUGAGCUGCUGCCAUUCUGUGGGUGUGAGCAUAUUUUCAAUGUUCCUCUCUCCUUUCUUGCCUUCUGUCCCUGUGCGUCCUUCACAAGGAUGAGAGCCACACAGUAGAGAGGAUGAGGCAGAUGUUCUGAGACAGCCACAGCCAUUUCCUCACCUCCAGUGCGCUCAGAUACCUGGGCAGUGGAGACUGGAUGGAGCCCAGAUUGUGAUGUCUGAGAGCCACACAGGGGAUGCCCCAGUGACUUCUCUCCAGAGCUGAUGACCACAGACUCCCUUGGCAGGAGCCCAGAGCAGAGAUGUUUUCUUUCCUGCUGUUUGUGACUAUGACCGAUUUUAAACAACCUGCAUGCUUAACAGCUUGGAAGUGUUUAAAUGAGUUUUGGUUCAGUUCAUGAUGGAGUACGGUACAUUAAGAACAAGUCACAAAUCCUACCUUUCCACAGUAAUAUUAUGGUAAAACAACCAAGCAAACCCUGCAGUCAGGGUUCCUCAGGGUGGAGUGUGGAGAAGUCAGGCCAGCAUAUGACAAAGUGUUAGCUCUUAAGGCUACAGGCUAGCAUUAUUUUUCAAUGUUUUUUUUUCCCAUUUUCAAUGCACCAAAUGUGUCAUUUUUAUUGUAAACACUUUUGAUAAUGAUCUCUUCAAUCAAGAGCAACAAUAUAAGUCUGUGUAGGGGAAUAAGAGCAAAGUGAUGUAUUUGGGUGAUAAAUUUAUUUUUAUGUAUUAAUUUAUUUUCUUUUUAGAGACAGCAUAUUAGUAUGUAGCCCAGGCUGGUCCUUCUGCUUCAGCCUCUGGAAUGAUGGAAUGACAAGUUUUUGUUGCCAUGCCCGGCUCCCACACACCUUGACUUUACAGUUUCCUAAUUUUAAGCACUUCUUGUGUUUAGUUUUAUACUGGAGCAUUUAUAUUUAACAUGCUUUUAAAAUAUGGGUAAAGAGGAAAAGAGAUCUGUUGCUAAGCAGCCAAUGUUUCAGGUUCCCCUUGACCCAUUCCUGAUAAUUGGUUGGGUUAGCAUUUCAUGAAUGUCUUUUUUUGUUGUUUUCUAAUUCUUUUUUUUUUCAAAAUUCUUUUUUAAUUUUUUAUUUUAUUUCUAUCAAUUGCAGUAUAUUCACUUUGUAUCCCAGCUGUAGCCUCCUUCCUUACCCCCUCCCACUCCCACCCUUCCUCCCUCUUCUUCUCUUAUGGCCCCUCCCCCAGUCCAAUGUUAGGGGAGGAGGACCUCCCCUUCCAUCUGACCCUAGUCUAUCAGGCCUCAUCAGGACUGGCUUCUGUGUCUUUCUCUGUAGACUGGUAAGGCUGUUCCCCCCUCAGGUGGAGGUGAUCAAAUAGCCAGCCCACGAGUUCAUGAGACGGUCCCUGUUCCUAUUAUUGGGGAACCCUCUUGGACACUGAGCUGCCAUGGGCUACUUCUGUGCAGGGGUUCUAAGUUAUCUCCAUGCCUGGUCCUUGUUUGGAGUUUCAGUCUCAGAAAAGACCCCUGUGCCCAGAUUUUUUUGUUUCUGUGCUCAACCAUGUUCGUGGCAGCUUUAUUUAUAAUAGCCAGAAGCUGGAAACAACCCAGAUGUCCCUCAACUGAGGAAUGGAUACAGAAAUUGUGGUACAUUUACACAAUGAAAUACUAUUCAGCAAUUGCAAACAAAGAAAUCAUGAAAUUUGCAGACAAAUGGUGGGAUCUAGAAAUGAUCAUCCUGAGGGAGGUAUUCCAGAAGCAGAAAAACACACAUGGUAUAUACUCAUUUAUAAGAGGAUAUUAGACAUAUAAUAUAGGAUAAUCAUACUAAAAUCUGUACAUCUAAGGAAGCUAAUCAAGAAGGAGGACCCUGGUAAGAUGCUCAAUCUUCAUUCAGCAAGGCAAACAAGAUGGACAUCAGAAGAGGGAGAAAACAGGGAACAGGACAGAAGCCUAUCACAGAGGGCCUCUGAAAGAUUCUACCCAGCAGGGUAUCAAAACAUAUGCUGAGAUUCAUAGCCAAACGUUUUGCAGAGUGCAGGGAAUCUUAUGAAAGAAGGGGGAGAUAGGAAGACCUGAAAGGAACAGGAGCUCUACAAGGAGAGCAACAGAAUCAUUAAUGUCUUAAAUGUGUGGGUCAGCUGGCCCUGGGAAAUAAUGUUGGAGGUGAGAAACACUUAGGUAGAAACAGUGCCAGUCCAUGAGUGGGAUCAGUCAUGGUCUAGUGGGGAAAAAGCCUCUUCAUCGUCCAAUGACAGGUGUCACCGUACAGUCUCUCAAAAGUAAUAAUAGCAAUGUCUGUGGCUUCAAAGUCAACCCAUCUACGGAGAGGCUCCCUUCAAUUCCUGCUCCCCCCGGCUUCCUUUUCUGUGGACGUAAGCUUUCUCAUCCUGUCAUGGUGAAGGUUAAAUGAUGCCUACGUGCAAAGGGUUGAGCAAGGCCAUCCUCACUGUGAGUCAUAUGAUCAGCAUCAUGUUGAAGGUGUGUAUGCCCAACCCUCAGCAAGCCAGAUGUGCAGAGCUGGUAUUUGGUUCACUGUAGAGCUGGUGGUUCUGUUCCCAGAAGGCGCUUUAUCUACCUUCUCUGCCUAACUGAAAACUGUGUUCUAAACCUCACCAUAUGGCCUUGCAGAAAGCACAGACAACACUUCAUUCAAAGAUCAAAGGAUAAAUUAAUCUACUUCACAAAAACAUGAGAGGAAGGCAGACCUCUCUCUUUAUUCAGGAUGUUGUGAUUUUGUCUACACUGCUGCCGUGUCUCUUGGUACAGGAGAGUCCAUGGUAGUGACACAGCCUCAUGUGGCUUGACUUUUCACUGAGGAUGUGACAGAUGCAGAGGCUUUGCAGAAAGUCAUGACUGGAGAGUAAAGGAAGAGUUAGGAAGGGGCUGUGCACAGGGAAAAGCCUCAGGGACCUGCUAUCAAAGCAAAGAUACUCAGGGUAUGCUUGGAAAACAUCCAGGGAAAUAAAAUCAGAGGGGAAAAUCUACUUAUAGGUAUCCACAUCACCCCGUAUCAAUAUUAAUCAUUUGUGGCUGUCCUUUGGGUCAUUGGCAUUUGGGUCAUAUCAUUAGAUAUCUACCUCAAUUCACUUAUAAGGCAUUCUGUCCCACCUCAUCCUGCCUCACACUGGACAUCGAAGUGAAAGAGAAGAGAGCACAGGGAUCAUUCUUGAAUAAGGAAGCCACGCAGGAGUCUGAGACUGUGUACUUUAGAAAGAUGGGAGGCAAGGUAGUGCCUGAUGAGGCCAGAACAGGUUAAAUGCUGGCCAGAGGGAGCAGCACCUGGAGCUGGGCCUUCAAGGACCGUGUGAACUGUGACCCAGUUGAUCUGAGAGAGAUGCUUUCAGCUGCCUUAGGCAUAGGGCAAUGAUGCACGGAGAACCUCAACUGUACCUGGAUCACAGGUGAGUUUCAGGAGACCUGAGGCACAGAGGCUACUGUGCAGUGAGAUGGCCCCAAGCAGGUUAUAGGAUGUUAUAGGCUAAGGGGCCUACUGCAGUAACAAGGGCUACCCUCAAAGGCUCUAGGUGCCCACACACAUGCAGCUGCAGGCUUCUUGUAUACUUAGGAGCAGAGAUUAAAUGAGUCACUUGGAAUUCAGGCCCCUCAUCCUUGAUCCUAUGCCUUCAGUUGGGAGAGGAGAAUUACAUUAAUCUAUGUUUUCUUUUAUCAAAUGAGUUUGGAGAAGCACACCAGAUCCUGAGAUUCAUCUAUUCAUUUGUUCAUUCAGAACACUGCUGCAUGCCCCAAUCUGGGCAGUGAUGCUAAAAAUCUCUUUGGGAGCUGCACAGCUUAUCAAGACCUUUCUCUAAUUUCAGGAAUCUUACGGCCAGGAGGAGGAAGGGGCACAUACUGACUCCACAAUGUUAACUGCAGGCUGGUCACUAUACCUCCUCCCAGCACUGGGUAGACUUAGGAUUCUCUCAAGGAAUGCUGGCUUUUACUCAGGAUAGACCAUCUCUACAUGGCUGCCUCUUAUUACAACCUAAAACUCAGAUCCUAGCACCCCUUGCUCUAGCUGCCAUGUCUUUACUUCCAACGAGCCCUUCUGAGCACUCACAAUUGCUUAGCAUGUGCUGUCUUCUAGUCCCAUUCUCCGUCGUCCAGGCUACCUGUACCUCAGACUGAUGUUACUUCCUUUGGAAGGCUUUCUCAAUCUGACUAAAUCUUUGGUAGCUUCACACUCCCUAACGCCCCUCAUAGCUCUUAUUCCAGCCAUCAUAAUUUUGCAUUUACUUACACAAUUGGCCAUAAUGACGUUCAUAUUAUCCUUUUUAAUAAUCAAAUUAUUGUAGUGUAAUUUGUGUAUAAGAAAAGGUCCUCUUUCUAUGAGUACUAGCAAAUCUUUACAAAGCUUAUAUCUUGGGUAACCAUCACCAUAAUCAAAUGCGGAACAUUCCAUCUCUCCAAAAGUUCAGUGCCCUUCCCAGUCAUUCAUGUGGUGCAUAUGAGAGUCCAGUCCUUCAGAUUGCUGAGCCACGCUGUCUCGUUGGCUCCUGAGAGUUGCCCCUGGUUGCUCAGGCAGCCUUCAGCUUCUUCGGGCACCCGUAGUUCACCUGGGUGGCCUUUGGAAGUGGUCUGACUCACCUCCACUGACGUGACUGCUCUGUUCCCAUGCUCAGCAGUUGUGCCAACAUAAAACCAUGCUCCCCUGCCCCUUGCCAGGUUAUGGUUUUGGCCAGAGAAGGCUGAUCAUGUCCGACCCCCUUCAGAAUCACGGAUGCUUCCCAGAGAUACACAGUACUUCUAGACCAGCCAUGGCAAUGAAGCUGUAUGGCCGGUGAUGACAGGCAAAUCCUUCUAUCCCUGAGAACUUGCUCUUCCUUGUCUGUGGAAAGGAGACAAUGCUGUCCUCACAGGGUCAUAACGCAAACCUACAUAUGUGAGGUUCUGUUCUCUGUCCCUUUCUCUCUCUGGACCUUCAGUUCCUUUCUCUGUCAGGCAAUGGCCAAACUACAGUUCUCUCAGGUGUCUUCCCUCUUGGACUUUCCUCGGACUGGAAAUGGCCCUAUAGUUUUUCAGCACAGGAAAAAUUGGAAUAAGAGAAUGGCCAGUUUCUCUGACAGUUCUUUUCCUGAAUAAAAGAACUAUCCACUCUGGCUUCUAGAACAGGCCUGUGGUUUUUGGAUCACUGGGCUGAUAUCUUAGCUAUUUUGAAGUCCAUUAGGGAAUGUAAUAGAGCUCCCAAUUUCCACAUGUGGCCACUGGUGCUGUGAAGCAUGUCCUUUGCUGGGAACUAGCCCUUGAUGGGGAGAAAUGAGUCACAGGGUAACUGAGGGGUGGGGAUAGUGUUCCAUUUGCAAGCCAAUAGUUCAGCUAAAACCACUUCCAGGUAGGCCCUGUCCCCGCCACUUAGCAACAGAGAAUUCUUCGGGGCCUACUAUGUGUCAAGUGCUUAACGUAUUGUCACUGUCAACUUAGGGAGGUGGUGGCCCUUAUCUGUAGGUGGAGAAAUGAGUUUCUUCCACGUGGCUUACCAUGUGCUUUGACGAGCUCUGGGUGGAGAGAAGGGACACAGUGUGUGAUUCUGUGUGGCCAGGAGAGGGGCCACACAGAAGAGGCUUCUGCUUGAAAUACGAGAAUGCCAACAUGCCAGGAACUUACCACUAUGUUUACUUCUCCGGACCUUGUGACCAGACAGGUGGUAGCUCGAAUUGUUUCCUAGACCCUUGGAUUCCCAGAUCAGAGGCUUUCACUGCAAGCACACUCAAGGACAGAAAGGGGGAGGUGUUGUCAGAAACCAGUGACAAAGCUAUUCCCAAAUCAUUAUAUCCACUGCUCCAGGUUCCCAGUAGGAGAAUGGGUCUCUGGAAGCAGUCAGUGGAAGUCAUGCCUUCUUCACUGAGCCCUACAAAUAGAACAACGUGUGUUCCUUUUUUUUCGGCAGUGUGCCCAAUGUUUAAACUCGGCAGCGUUCACUAAUUGAGAGCUGCUGUCCUUACAACUCACACACACAAUGGUACCCAGCUGCUUUCUUCACCACAAGCCCAAAAUUGCAUGUUUCAGUAUCCCUGGUGUCUGGGCCAGCCUGAGAAUGGGCUGUGGCUUAGGGCCCAUUUUUGCACCAGCAUCCAAGAGCCCGGUAGACCUCUGUGGAUUGUGGCUCCUCUCUCCGCAGUCUAAACAGAAGUGCCCCUUAUGCCUCAGCUGUGUAUAGACCGCAGCUCCCCAACAUCAGGGCAAUAGUGUUGGCAGUGACUUGGAGAAGCUGACAUGCAAAUCAAAUGACAGCCAAGAAGAAUCAAGAAUGGAUGAAAGCAGACAGGAAAAAGGUAUGGAAGUGACAGUGGAAGGCACACUGAACUCACAGAGAGGCAGGGCCUGGUGGUGGGUGAAGCUCAAGGGGUUUGUAUCAGCCUGGCACCUCAUGAGUGUGUUAUUUGGGACACUGAGGUUCAGUUUUUCUAUCUGUAAAAAUGAGGACUCUACUAGCUCUUCUAUCAGAAUUUAGUUAGUUUUUUUUUUUUUUUGUUUGCUUCUCCAAGGCAAGGUUUCUCAGUGUAGCCCCGGUUGUCCUGGAACUUGCUUUGUAGACCAGGCUGGCCUCAGACUCAGAAAUCUGUCUGCCUCUGCCUCCCAAGUUCUGGGAUUAAAGGCAUGCAGCACCACACCCAGCCGGAAGUUUAUACUUAGAGAGAUAUAAUGAGGUGCUGUGUUAAAACGCUCAGCUUUCCUUACAAGUGCUCAAUAAAAUGUAUCUGUACUCA
Molecule: long non-coding RNA, 10998 nt
Organism: Meriones unguiculatus (Mongolian gerbil)
Lineage: Eukaryota; Metazoa; Chordata; Mammalia; Rodentia; Muridae
Exons: 5
Source: RefSeq, a predicted model, not a curated record